CAUGUCAACGCGGUUUGCUGACGUGGCAGCAAAUCGUGUCCACGUAAGCACGGUUUGUGUCCACGUCAGCAAAGUGCCUUGUCGUGG
Molecule: non-coding RNA, 87 nt
Organism: Gossypium hirsutum (cotton)
Lineage: Eukaryota; Viridiplantae; Streptophyta; Magnoliopsida; Malvales; Malvaceae
Source: Rfam